RNAcentral lists this ribosomal RNA (425 nucleotides) under uncultured bacterium. RNAcentral's name for it is "partial 16S ribosomal RNA". It matches the Rfam family "Bacterial small subunit ribosomal RNA", at positions 359 to 776 of the family's 1533-position model. The record is from RNAcentral.
GAAUUUUGGACAAUGGGCGAAAGCCUGAUCCAGCAAUGCCGCGUGCAGGAUGAAGGCCUUCGGGUUGUAAUCUGCUUUUGUACGGAGCGAAAAGCUUUAGGUUAAUACCCUGGAGUCAUGACGGUACCGUAAGAAUAAGCACCGGCUAAUUACGUGCCAGCCGCCGCGGUAAUACGGAGGGUGCAAGCGUUAAUCGGAACUACUGGGCGUAAAGCGUGCGCAGGCGGUUUUGUAAGACAGAGGUGAAAUCCCCGGGCUCAACGCGGGAACUUCCUUUGUGACUGCAAGGCUAGAGUACGGCAUAGGGGAGUGGAAUUCCGCGUGUAGCAGUGAAAUGCGUAGAUAUGCGGAGGAACACCGAUGGCGAAGGCAACCCCCUGGGCCUGUACUGACGCUCAUGCACGAAAGCGUGGGGAGCAAACAGG